CAAGUGACGCAGACGUUCCUACGAAACAAUAUUACAAGCAAAGUGCAAGUUUUAUUUUAAUGGUGAAAAUUACAUAAAUUACAUAUAAAAUACUGCGGAAACUCUACCGUCGACGACUGAAAACCUCUGGCGUUGGUUUGAAUUUCGCAUCGUUGCCUCGUAUAGUGAGGAAUCUCAGCAGUGGAUAUACAUACAUAAAUAUUUGUGCGAGACUCAGCAUAGGAAAGUGCCAAGAUAAAAACCUUGUGGCCCUCCGCGACUCGUCUCUUUCACAUAUGAAUACAUCGGAAAUAUUAUCGGCAGUGUCCCAGACAGAUAGUGGCACCAGUUGCAGUUAUUCGGACAUAGUCCACGUGUAGAUGUAUACACAUAACCUGCACUUAUUACAUAUAUGUACAUAAGUACAUAAAUUCAAUGCCAACCCUAAGCAACGUGUGGGAGCUGGACAACCGAGUGCAAGCGAGACACCACGAUCGGUUUUCUCAUACACAGUGCAAAUGACUUGAGCACUACUUUUUUCUUUUCUUUUGAUUAUAAUUCUUACCUAAAUUUUCAUAUACUUUCUUACGUUUCAUAUACUACUUUUCUUUGUUCGUAUUUUUGCUAACAUCCAAGUGAUGUAGUCUUUAAAUCAAUUUCGUUUUUCCAAUUUUAAUAUUUCAUAUAUACAUAAUUAACUAUUGUUAUUAGAGUUUAAGCAUAAUUUGAUUUAUUUUGUUCCAUGAAAGCUUAACGUAAUUCCUAGUGCUCUUGCUCACAAUUUAAUAUGCCUCGGAAAUAGUAUAAGCUACUCCCUUUUUGUUUUAUAUACGAGUAUAUAGUAGUAACUACAGCACUCAGCAA
Molecule: long non-coding RNA, 843 nt
Organism: Scaptodrosophila lebanonensis
Lineage: Eukaryota; Metazoa; Arthropoda; Insecta; Diptera; Drosophilidae
Exons: 2
Source: RefSeq, a predicted model, not a curated record